Molecule: long non-coding RNA, 649 nt
Organism: Pseudophryne corroboree (corroboree frog)
Lineage: Eukaryota; Metazoa; Chordata; Amphibia; Anura; Myobatrachidae
Exons: 2
Source: RefSeq, a predicted model, not a curated record
ACCGUUCUAAUGCUAUAACGGAGAAACAUGUUAAUGAAACUGGCACUGGUGCUGAGAGUAAACUGAUUGUUUUGGAAUGUUGGCUUCCACCUGUUCCAGAUAUCCAGCUACACACGGGCGCAUCACAGCCGUAUGACAGGUGAUCUCAGCCAGGGGCUGUCCUACUACAUUUGGUUUGUUCUGGCUCGAGCAGACUGAGACCACAUAUCCAGCUUUGUUCCGGCUAAAGAUACAGCUUGCGGUGUAUAGCCACAGUCGUCGGCCGCUCCAUUCAAUAAGAAGCAUCACGUUCCAGCCUACGGCGAGUUUCCUAAUGCGGUUUAAGAGUGGAUAACUGUUGCCAAAGACUUUGAAGAACAAUGGAAUCUCCCUAAUUAUGGUGGAGCCAUCGAUGGGAAACAUUCACAUCAUGCCUGAUGCAGAAAAACGUUAUAGAGAACUACAGCACCUAUGAGAGCUGCAGUGGAGAUGUCUAUAGGAUGUCACUCAACAACAACAACUAUGUCAACAAGAAAAUGUAGACAUCACCUCUGUGAUCAUCACAUAUAAAUGGUUGAUAUAAUCAAUUAAUUUCAAGAAUGUAAAUGGUAUUCGUUAUGUCUCUAGGAGUCCAAAGUCUUUCAAUAAACAUAUGAGGAUAAGCGUAUAA